CCUACGGGAGGCUGCAGUGGGGAAUAUUGCACAAUGGGGGAAACCCUGAUGCAGCGACGCCGCGUGAGUGAAGAAGUAUUUCGGUAUGUAAAGCUCUAUCAGCAGGGAAGAAAAUGACGGUACCUGCUUAAGAAGCCCCGGCUAACUACGUGCCAGCAGCCGCGGUAAUACGUAGGGGGCAAGCGGUAUCCGGAUGUACUGGGUGUAAAGUGAGCGUAGACGGCAGCACAAGUCUGGAGUGAAAUGCCGGGGCUUAACCCCGGAACUGCUUUGGAAACUGUGCAGCUAGAGUGCAGGAGAGGUAAGUGGAAUGCCUAGUGUAGCGGUGAAAUGCGUAGAUAUUAGGAGGAACACCAGUGGCGAAGGCGGCUUACUGGACUGUAACUGACGUUGAGGCUCGAAAGCGUGGGGAGCAAACAGGAUUAGAUACCCUUGUAGUC
This 440-nucleotide ribosomal RNA is filed under the name uncultured bacterium. RNAcentral describes it as "partial 16S ribosomal RNA". It matches the Rfam family "Bacterial small subunit ribosomal RNA", at positions 338 to 795 of the family's 1533-position model. The record is from RNAcentral.